RNAcentral lists this ribosomal RNA (255 nucleotides) under uncultured bacterium. Its description in RNAcentral is "partial 16S ribosomal RNA". It matches the Rfam family "Bacterial small subunit ribosomal RNA", at positions 524 to 776 of the family's 1533-position model. The record is from RNAcentral.
UACGUAGGGUGCGAGCGUUAAUCGGAAUUACUGGGCGUAAAGCGUGCGCAGGCGGUGCUGUAAGACCGAUGUGAAAUCCCCGGGCUUAACCUGGGAACUGCAUUGGUGACUGCAGCGCUGGAGUAUGGCAGAGGGGGGUGGAAUUCCACGUGUAGCAGUGAAAUGCGUAGAGAUCCGGAGGAACACCAAAGGCGAAGGCAGUGUCCUGGGGAGUACCGUGACGCUCAGGUGCGAAAGCCAGGGGAGCGGAACGGG